UACGUAGGGGGCAAGCGUUGUCCGGAAUCAUUGGGCAUAAAGAGCGCGUAGGCGGUCCGAUAAGUCUGCCGUGAAAGCCAAGGGCUCAACCCUUGGAUGCCGGUGGAUACUGUCGGGCUAGAGUCCGGAAGAGGCGAGUGGAAUUCCUGGUGUAGCGGUGAAAUGCGCAGAUAUCAGGAAGAACACCCGUGGCGAAGGCGGCUCUCUGGGACGGUACUGACGCUGAGACGCGAAAGCGUGGGGAGCGAACAGG
RNAcentral lists this ribosomal RNA (253 nucleotides) under uncultured bacterium. RNAcentral describes it as "partial 16S ribosomal RNA". It matches the Rfam family "Bacterial small subunit ribosomal RNA", at positions 524 to 776 of the family's 1533-position model. The record is from RNAcentral.